RNAcentral lists this ribosomal RNA (641 nucleotides) under Micromonospora sp. I15A-00843. RNAcentral describes it as "bacterial SSU rRNA". It matches the Rfam family "Bacterial small subunit ribosomal RNA", at positions 112 to 768 of the family's 1533-position model. Lineage: Bacteria; Bacillati; Actinomycetota; Actinomycetes; Micromonosporales; Micromonosporaceae. The record is from RNAcentral.
AACACGUGAGCAACCUGCCCCAAGCUUUGGGAUAACCCUCGGAAACGGGGGCUAAUACCGAAUAUUACUGCUGGCCGCAUGGCUGGUGGUGGAAAGUUUUUCGGCUUGGGAUGGGCUCGCGGCCUAUCAGCUUGUUGGUGGGGUGAUGGCCUACCAAGGCGACGACGGGUAGCCGGCCUGAGAGGGCGACCGGCCACACUGGGACUGAGACACGGCCCAGACUCCUACGGGAGGCAGCAGUGGGGAAUAUUGCACAAUGGGCGGAAGCCUGAUGCAGCGACGCCGCGUGAGGGAUGACGGCCUUCGGGUUGUAAACCUCUUUCAGCAGGGACGAAGCGAGAGUGACGGUACCUGCAGAAGAAGCACCGGCCAACUACGUGCCAGCAGCCGCGGUAAGACGUAGGGUGCGAGCGUUGUCCGGAUUUAUUGGGCGUAAAGAGCUCGUAGGCGGCUUGUCGCGUCGACCGUGAAAACUUGGGGCUCAACCCCAAGCCUGCGGUCGAUACGGGCAGGCUAGAGUUCGGUAGGGGAGACUGGAAUUCCUGGUGUAGCGGUGAAAUGCGCAGAUAUCAGGAGGAACACCGGUGGCGAAGGCGGGUCUCUGGGCCGAUACUGACGCUGAGGAGCGAAAGCGUGGGGAG